UACGUAGGCAGCGAGCGUUGUUCGGAGUUACUGGGCGUAAAGGGUGCGUAGGCGGUUUUCCAAGUUUGGUGUGAAAUCUCCCGGCUUAACUGGGAGGGUGCGCCGAAAACUAGGAGACUUGAGUACCGGAGAGGUAAGCGGAAUUCCUGGUGUAGCGGUGAAAUGCGUAGAGAUCAGGAGGAACACCUGUGGUGUAGACAGCUUACUGGACGGUCACUGACGCUGAGGAGCGAAAGCGUGGGGAGCAAACAGG
RNAcentral lists this ribosomal RNA (253 nucleotides) under uncultured bacterium. RNAcentral describes it as "partial 16S ribosomal RNA". It matches the Rfam family "Bacterial small subunit ribosomal RNA", at positions 524 to 776 of the family's 1533-position model. The record is from RNAcentral.